Molecule: ribosomal RNA, 433 nt
Filed under: uncultured bacterium
Lineage: Bacteria
Description: partial 16S ribosomal RNA
Rfam family: Bacterial small subunit ribosomal RNA
Source: RNAcentral
AACGAACGCUGGCGGCAUGCCUAACACAUGCAAGUCGAACGAGACCUUCGGGUCUAGUGGCGCACGGGUGCGUAACGCGUGGGAACCUGCCCUUAGGUUCGGAAUAACUCCCCGAAAGGGGUGCUAAUACCGGAUCAUGUCUUCGGACCAAAGAUUUAUCGCCUUUGGAUGGGCCGGCGUUGGAUUAGCUAGUUGGUAGGGUAAAAGCCUACCAAGGCGGCGAUCCAUAGCUGGUCUGUGAGGAUGAUCAGCCACACUGGGACUGAGACACGGCCCAGACUCCUACGGGAGGGAGCAGUGGGGAAUAUUGGACAAUGGGCGAAAGCCUGAUCCAGCAAUGCCGCGUGAGUGAUGAAGGCCUUAGGGUUGUAAAGCUCUUUUACCCGGGAUGAUAAUGACAGUACCGGGAGAAUAAGCUCCGGCUAACUCCGUG